This 1291-nucleotide long non-coding RNA is filed under the name Bos mutus (wild yak). Its description in RNAcentral is "lncRNA (ENSBMUG00000014317.1)". The record is from RNAcentral. Lineage: Eukaryota; Metazoa; Chordata; Mammalia; Artiodactyla; Bovidae.
CUUCUCCAUCCCCCAGCACCGACACCCCCGACCCCUGCCCCAGGCACAAGCGGGUUCUUACUUGAGCUGUUUUCCCAAAGUGGAGGCUUCGAAUUGGGCCACAUAGUCUCUGCCACUAUCCUUGAUUGCUUCCACAUACACGGUGGCAAAAUCCUUCACCCGAUCCCAGGAUGACUGGGGGUCAUCUUGCUGCCAGAAAUGCCGAGCCUGGCUCCCUGGGAGGGAGAGGGGAGACCCAGAUCAGACCCAGCUCUGGGCCAGGAUCUGAGCAGAAGUGCUUGGCAGGGGAGAGGGCUGCGAGGGAGUAAUUCUGCUCCCUGGGCCCAGGAGGGUGGUCUGCAGGGGUUCAGGGAGAAGGCUCCCCACAAUGGUUGGCUCCCUAGGUUAGGGGCACCUACCCGUCAGGAAGAGCACAGCCAAGGUCAGCACCACGGCUUUCAUCUUGAAGGGAUGUGGGUGACCUGGAGGAGAAGAGGGGCCCAGCUGAGCAGGGCUUGAAGGAGCCCGUGCACUCUCUACUCACUCCAUCCGGGGAGGAGGAGGCGGGGCACAGGGUGGGGAGGGCCAGGGGUCCAGAGCCCCCAGCCUGGGGUAGAGGCUCGGGCCAGCAUCCCAGAGCCUCAAAUGCCUAGAGCUGGGGAGCGGGUAGCAGCACUUACCUCAAUGGCCAGCAGUCUAAUCAGCCAGCUCUCCCCCGGCCUAUUUAUGUGUCCAGGCAGGGCUGGGCUCAGAGGCUGAUAAGCCCAGCCCAGGCCUUGCCGCUGCUCACUGGUCCUGGCGAUGUGGAACUCAGAGUUCAAGGAUCAGCUCUGUCCCUGGGGCCAGACAAAUAGAGCAGGCAAACAGGAAGCUCCGGGGGCUGCAGGGCCAGGGAUCAAGAGUUCCAGCAGGGGUGGGAGGGGGUGUGUACAGGCGCGCAGGUCCCCAGAGUCGGGGGUCAGCGGUACCGGCCCGUCUCCUCCGUGGGGAUUGUGUGCCUGCCAUUGUCCAUUGUGCCAUCGCAGCGGGUGAGAGGAAGGAAGGAGGAAAAACACAGAGGCUGCCAAGGACGACGGGACUCCUCCACUCAAGAGCUCCUGGUGAUAAACAGAGCCCCAGUUUAGACCCCAGCACUGGGCAUCGUAACCAGAGAAGAGUCUCUCCUGCCCUCCUGCUUAGGAGACUAAGGUCAUGGCAGAGCAGGAGGUCUAGCUCCUCGGUAGGUACACCAGCCUUCCGAAUCCUUGAUCUGUGCAGGUGGAGUGGGGUGGGUGCGGUGGGGAAGGAGGAUACCUCAAAGUCAGAAAGAUGA